RNAcentral lists this ribosomal RNA (251 nucleotides) under uncultured bacterium. RNAcentral describes it as "partial 16S ribosomal RNA". It matches the Rfam family "Bacterial small subunit ribosomal RNA", at positions 15 to 242 of the family's 1533-position model. The record is from RNAcentral.
GAUCAUGGCUCAGGAUGAACGCUAGCGGCAGGCUUAACACAUGCAAGUCGAGGGGCAGCAUAAUGGAUAGCAAUAUCUAUGGUGGCGACCGGCGCACGGGUGCGUAACGCGUAUGCAACCUACCUUUAACAGGGGAGUAACACUGAGAAAUUAGGUACUAAUACCCCACUAACAUCAUGAAAGGACGAUCUUUUAUUUGGUUGGUAAAAUUAACCGUACUGGUUAGGUAGAGUGGGCGGAUGCGUUGGUUA